RNAcentral lists this ribosomal RNA (429 nucleotides) under Neoprotoparmelia aff. isidiata D GS-2015. RNAcentral's name for it is "eukaryotic LSU rRNA". It matches the Rfam family "Eukaryotic large subunit ribosomal RNA", at positions 150 to 583 of the family's 3401-position model. The record is from RNAcentral. Lineage: Eukaryota; Fungi; Ascomycota; Lecanoromycetes; Lecanorales; Parmeliaceae.
UUGCAGAGGACGUUUCGGGGGAGGCGCCGAUCUAAGUCCGUUGGAACACGGCGUCAUARAGGGUGARAAUCCCGUCUGCGACCGGUGACCGACCCCAUAUGAAACCCCUUCGACGAGUCGAGUUGUUUGGGAAUGCAGCUCAAAACGGGUGGUAAAUUUCAUCUAAAGCUAAAUACCGGCUGGAGACCGAUAGCGCACAAGUAGAGUGAUCGAAAGAUGAAAAGCACUUUGGAAAGAGAGUUAAAAAGUACGUGAAAUUGUUGAAAGGGAAGCGCUUGCAACCAGACCUGCCCGUCGGCGAUCAGCCGCCGCUCGCGGUGGUGUAUGCGUCGACGAACAGGCCAGCAUCGGUCCGGACGGUCGGACAAAGGCCUCGGGAACGUAGCUCUCUCCGGGGAGUCUUAUAGCCCGUGGUGCAAUGCGACCAGU